UAUGUACUCCCUCCGUCCGGAAAUACUUGUCAUCAAAAUGGAUAAAGGGAGAUGUAUCUACCGGAAAUACUUGUCAUCAAAAUGGAUAAAAGGAGAUGUAUAUAUCUAGCUCUAGAUACAUCUCCUUUUAUCCAUUUUGAUGACAAGUAUUUCCGGACGGAGGGAGUAUACA
This is a non-coding RNA of Triticum aestivum (bread wheat), 172 nucleotides long. Lineage: Eukaryota; Viridiplantae; Streptophyta; Magnoliopsida; Poales; Poaceae. The record is from Rfam.